GUGCCGCAGCUAACGCAAUAAGUAUCCCACCUGGGGAGUACGAUCGCAAGGUUGAAACUCAAAGGAAUUGACGGGGGCCCGCACAAGCGGUGGAGUAUGUGGUUUAAUUCGAAGCAACGCGAAGAACCUUACCAGGGCUUGACAUCCCGGUGACCGGCCUAGAGAUAGGCUUUUCCUUCGGGACACCGGUGACAGGUGGUGCAUGGUUGUCGUCAGCUCGUGUCGUGAGAUGUUGGGUUAAGUCCCGCAACGAGCGCAACCCUUAUUGUUAGUUGCUACGCAAGAGCACUCUAACGAGACUGCCGUUGACAAAACGGAGGAAGGUGGGGACGACGUCAAAUCAUCAUGCCCCUUAUGUCCUGGGCCACACACGUACUACAAUGGCGGUCAACAAAGAGAGGCAAAGCCGCGAGGCAGAGCGAAUCUCAAAAAGCCGUCCCAGUUCGGAUUGCAGGCUGCAACCCGCCUGCAUGAAGUUGGAAUCGCUAGUAAUCGCGGAUCAGCAUGCCGCGGUGAAUACGUUCCCGGGCCUUGCACUCACCGCCCGUC
This 549-nucleotide ribosomal RNA is filed under the name uncultured bacterium. RNAcentral describes it as "bacterial SSU rRNA". It matches the Rfam family "Bacterial small subunit ribosomal RNA", at positions 843 to 1398 of the family's 1533-position model. The record is from RNAcentral.